UCGUAGUCCGGAUUGGAGUCUGCAACUCGACUCCAUGAAGUCGGAAUCGCUAGUAAUCGUGGAUCAGAAUGCCACGGUGAAUACGUUCCCGGGCCUUGUACACACCGCCCGUCACACCAUGGGAGUGGGUUGCAAAAGAAGUAGGUAGCUUAACCUUCGGGAGGGCGCUUACCACUUUGUGAUUCAUGACUGGGGUGAAGUCGUAACAAGGUAACCGUAGGGGAACCUGCGGUUGGAUCACCUCCUUACCUUAAAGAA
This 258-nucleotide ribosomal RNA is filed under the name Citrobacter braakii. Its description in RNAcentral is "partial 16S ribosomal RNA". It matches the Rfam family "Bacterial small subunit ribosomal RNA", at positions 1286 to 1533 of the family's 1533-position model. Lineage: Bacteria; Pseudomonadati; Pseudomonadota; Gammaproteobacteria; Enterobacterales; Enterobacteriaceae. The record is from RNAcentral. RNAcentral also lists the same sequence under 3 other names.